AAAACUAAAGCCAAUAGGUGAAUUUUUUUUUUCCCUAUCAGAUGGAAAUCCAAUGGUGAGGUGCGGCUCUCAUGAUCUAAUCAUUUCAAGCCUCUGAUGAGUAGGGUGCCCAGUAUCUGGGUCCUGCUGGAUGCCUCUCUUAAAGCCUUCUGCCAACAUGGUGGUGCCACUAAUUUUUGAGAACAUUCUUGCCUUGUCUAACACAUGAACUGUGGGGAGACACCUCGUACUCAACCAGAACAGAUUGAAAGGAAAACAAAGCAGCGAGAGAUGAUGGGACAGAGAGGGACAGGGCGCUGCUUCAGAAGGGCCAUCUGAGGAGGAGGAUCACGUGGAGACCUGUGUGGAAUGAGGUCGGGGGAGCCACAAGGCUGCAGGGAAGUGAGCAAGGGGAGGGGUGGGAAGCAAGGCCUGAAUUGGGGUCCCAGACAGCUCUGCUGCAGAUUUGAUAGUGUUUUCUUCUAGGAAUGAAAGGACAAUCACUGGAGGGUGUCUCGGGUAGAGGGAAAAUUCCAGGCGAAGUCUUUUAAUACCAACAGAGAAACCUGGACAAGAGACUACCUGUUCCCACUGUGCUCUCCAAAGGCUGAUGUACCAUGCCUCUCCUGGGCACUAUGGCUGUGGCCACCUGAAGAAGAGACCACAGGGGAAGACCACCGUGGCCAGGAGGAGGACAGGAUGCACAGCUGCUGUCACUCAUCUGUCCUCCUGCAAGCUCAGCCUCCCUACACAUCUUCAACCAUACUUCAGAUGCAGGAAAUAUGUGGCUGCACCUGUCCCCUUCUACUGUCAAGUGCUCUUAUUGUCAACAUGGUCUUGGAUGCAGUGCUCCACAGUGAGCGUGGGAUUUUGAAGAUGUGACAAAGUGACUUGCUACAUUCCUGACCCAGGAAUGUCCCAAAGGUCACUGUCCCCUUCUUCAGUGCCUGAGCUGUGGUCAUCCCUAUAUCCAGGACCCUCUUCUGAUCACUUCUUGCUACGUGCUUUCACCCAGGUCAUCCUUGAGCCAGAUCACUCCUUUCUAAAGCAGUAAUACCCACCAUGAUCUGUUUGCUUCCAUCACUCUCCAAUUGCCAAAGCCUGUGAGACAUCACUUGAAAUUGUGCUCCGGUGCCUCCUGUAAGCACGUCUCCUGCCUGCCAUCUGUUCAGCUCCGGCAAUGUGUCCAGAACCGCCUUGAUGUCUUCCUCGGAUUCACUUUGGUGCAUGACCCGCCCGACAGAGUUUAUUUACAUGGCUUCUGUUCCUGAGGAUUGGAUCUGCUCCAGGAACCCCGUGCUGGUUAGUGACUAGGAGCUGUCACUUGGUGUUUAUUGGAGCAUGUGUCACUGAUUCGGAGGAUGAACUUGAUGACAACCAAAGGCCCAGAUCUCAUAUCUCAAAAGGUAAACACACUGUGCCGCGCAUUGAAAAUAUUCUGCUUGUCUGAAACUUGGUGCUGGUUUACAUCUCUC
This 1454-nucleotide long non-coding RNA is filed under the name Ictidomys tridecemlineatus (thirteen-lined ground squirrel). Its description in RNAcentral is "lncRNA (ENSSTOG00000031634.1)". The record is from RNAcentral. Lineage: Eukaryota; Metazoa; Chordata; Mammalia; Rodentia; Sciuridae.